RNAcentral lists this ribosomal RNA (492 nucleotides) under uncultured bacterium. RNAcentral describes it as "partial 16S ribosomal RNA". It matches the Rfam family "Bacterial small subunit ribosomal RNA", at positions 29 to 507 of the family's 1533-position model. The record is from RNAcentral.
AGUGAACGCUGGCGGUAGGCCUAACACAUGCAAGUCGAACGGCAGCACAGUAAGAGCUUGCUCUUACGGGUGGCGAGUGGCGGGCGGGUGAGGAGUACAUCGGAAUCUACUUUUUCGUGGGGGAUAACGUAGAGAAACUUACGCUAAUACCGCAUACGACCUACGGGUGAAAGCAGGGGAUAUUCGGACUUUGCGCGAUUGAAUGAGCCGAUGUCGGAUUAGCUAGUUGGCGGGGUAAAGGCCCACCAAGGCAACGAUGCGUAGCUGGUCUGAGAGGAUGAUCAGCCACACUGGAACUGAGACACGGUCCAGACUCCUACGGGAGGCAGCAGUGGGGAAUCUUGGACAAUGGGCGCAAGCCUGACCCAGCCAUACCGCGUGAGUGAUGAAGGCCUUCGGGUUGUAAAGCCCUGUUGUUGGGAAAGAAAAGCAGCAGGUUAAUACCCCGCUGUUCUGACGGUACCCAAAGAGUAAGCACCGGCUAACUUCGUG